Molecule: long non-coding RNA, 551 nt
Organism: Bubalus bubalis (water buffalo)
Lineage: Eukaryota; Metazoa; Chordata; Mammalia; Artiodactyla; Bovidae
Exons: 3
Source: RefSeq, a predicted model, not a curated record
CUUAAUAUCUAAUAUCUACUCUACAUCUACAUCCAGCGUGAAGCUGCGUGCUGAAGCUAGAAAACUUCUGUCCUCAGAGAGCUUACAGCACAAGACAGAGAGCCAGAAUACAUAAAGCAGUAUGUUCCUUAGAUCAAGGGUCAGAAGACUAUGGCCUGUGGGGUAUCCAGCCCAUUGUCUGUUUUCGUGGCUCAUGAGAUACUGAAACCCCCCACCAGGUAGAGAAGUUAACUACAUGAUGACCAGACUGUAGCCAUGAUAUAACCUGCCACAGUUCUAAGAAUUGGCCUCAAAGUAAUGGAAACAAACCGACCUUCGAACUGAAGGUUAACUGUACCUAAAACAACCAAGAUGAAGCCAGUCAGACCACUGAUGACCAAUCUGAAGAUGACUGUCAGAGCUGACUAUACCAUGUAGCCCUCUUCCUCUGUCUAUAAAAGCUCUUCCUCACUGACUGUCAGUAAUGAGGGGGAGUCAGCCUUUGGGCAGACAUCUGCCCUUGCCCUCUGGAUGCUGGCCUCAGAAAUAAAGCAAACUAUUCCUUCCACCAA